RNAcentral lists this ribosomal RNA (1479 nucleotides) under Klebsiella sp. ok1_1_9_S11. RNAcentral's name for it is "bacterial SSU rRNA". It matches the Rfam family "Bacterial small subunit ribosomal RNA". The record is from RNAcentral. Lineage: Bacteria; Pseudomonadati; Pseudomonadota; Gammaproteobacteria; Enterobacterales; Enterobacteriaceae.
CUGGCGGCAGGCCUAACACAUGCAAGUCGAGCGGUAGCACAGAGAGCUUGCUCUCGGGUGACGAGCGGCGGACGGGUGAGUAAUGUCUGGGAAACUGCCUGAUGGAGGGGGAUAACUACUGGAAACGGUAGCUAAUACCGCAUAAUGUCGCAAGACCAAAGUGGGGGACCUUCGGGCCUCAUGCCAUCAGAUGUGCCCAGAUGGGAUUAGCUAGUAGGUGGGGUAACGGCUCACCUAGGCGACGAUCCCUAGCUGGUCUGAGAGGAUGACCAGCCACACUGGAACUGAGACACGGUCCAGACUCCUACGGGAGGCAGCAGUGGGGAAUAUUGCACAAUGGGCGCAAGCCUGAUGCAGCCAUGCCGCGUGUGUGAAGAAGGCCUUCGGGUUGUAAAGCACUUUCAGCGGGGAGGAAGGCGGUAAGGUUAAUAACCUCAUCGAUUGACGUUACCCGCAGAAGAAGCACCGGCUAACUCCGUGCCAGCAGCCGCGGUAAUACGGAGGGUGCAAGCGUUAAUCGGAAUUACUGGGCGUAAAGCGCACGCAGGCGGUCUGUCAAGUCGGAUGUGAAAUCCCCGGGCUCAACCUGGGAACUGCAUUCGAAACUGGCAGGCUAGAGUCUUGUAGAGGGGGGUAGAAUUCCAGGUGUAGCGGUGAAAUGCGUAGAGAUCUGGAGGAAUACCGGUGGCGAAGGCGGCCCCCUGGACAAAGACUGACGCUCAGGUGCGAAAGCGUGGGGAGCAAACAGGAUUAGAUACCCUGGUAGUCCACGCCGUAAACGAUGUCGAUUUGGAGGUUGUGCCCUUGAGGCGUGGCUUCCGGAGCUAACGCGUUAAAUCGACCGCCUGGGGAGUACGGCCGCAAGGUUAAAACUCAAAUGAAUUGACGGGGGCCCGCACAAGCGGUGGAGCAUGUGGUUUAAUUCGAUGCAACGCGAAGAACCUUACCUGGUCUUGACAUCCACAGAACUUUCCAGAGAUGGAUUGGUGCCUUCGGGAACUGUGAGACAGGUGCUGCAUGGCUGUCGUCAGCUCGUGUUGUGAAAUGUUGGGUUAAGUCCCGCAACGAGCGCAACCCUUAUCCUUUGUUGCCAGCGGUCCGGCCGGGAACUCAAAGGAGACUGCCAGUGAUAAACUGGAGGAAGGUGGGGAUGACGUCAAGUCAUCAUGGCCCUUACGACCAGGGCUACACACGUGCUACAAUGGCAUAUACAAAGAGAAGCGACCUCGCGAGAGCAAGCGGACCUCAUAAAGUAUGUCGUAGUCCGGAUUGGAGUCUGCAACUCGACUCCAUGAAGUCGGAAUCGCUAGUAAUCGUAGAUCAGAAUGCUACGGUGAAUACGUUCCCGGGCCUUGUACACACCGCCCGUCACACCAUGGGAGUGGGUUGCAAAAGAAGUAGGUAGCUUAACCUUCGGGAGGGCGCUUACCACUUUGUGAUUCAUGACUGGGGUGAAGUCGUAACAAGGUAACCGUAGGG